This is a non-coding RNA of Pseudodesulfovibrio indicus, 72 nucleotides long. NCBI's taxonomy places the organism in Bacteria, Pseudomonadati, Thermodesulfobacteriota, Desulfovibrionia, Desulfovibrionales, Desulfovibrionaceae. The record is from Rfam.
AGGCGCGUAGCUCAGGGGGAGAGCAUUUGCUUGACGUGCAAAGGGUCGUGGGUUCAAAUCCCUCCGCGCCUA